UCCGAGUUGUCCCCGGCAGUCUCUUAUGAGUCCCCGGCAUAACCCGCUGGUAACAUAAGACAAGGGUUGCGCUCGUUGCGGGACUUAACCCAACAUCUUACGACACGAGCUGACGACAGCCAUGCAGCACCUCGACUGGACUCCCUUGCGGGAUAGCGGUGUUUCCACCGCCGUUGACCAGCCGUUCGAGCCCAGGUAAGGUUCUUCGCGUUGCGUCGAAUUAAACCACAUGCUCCGCUGCUUGUGCGGGCCCCCGUCAAUUCCUUUGAGUUUUAGCCCUGCGGCCGUACUCCCCAGGCGGGGCACUUAAUGCGUUAGCUCCGGCACGGGAGGAGUCGACACCUCCCACACCUAGUGCCCAUCGUUUACGGCGUGGACUAC
This 381-nucleotide unclassified non-coding RNA is filed under the name uncultured bacterium. RNAcentral's name for it is "contains 16S-23S intergenic spacer region". The record is from RNAcentral.